This 2891-nucleotide ribosomal RNA is filed under the name Klebsiella pneumoniae. RNAcentral describes it as "bacterial LSU rRNA". It matches the Rfam family "Bacterial large subunit ribosomal RNA". The record is from RNAcentral. Lineage: Bacteria; Pseudomonadati; Pseudomonadota; Gammaproteobacteria; Enterobacterales; Enterobacteriaceae.
UUAAGCGACUAAGCGUACACGGUGGAUGCCCUGGCAGUCAGAGGCGAUGAAGGACGUGCUAAUCUGCGAAAAGCGUCGGUAAGGUGAUAUGAACCGUUAUAACCGGCGAUGUCCGAAUGGGGAAACCCAGUGCAAUUCGUUGCACUAUCGUUAACUGAAUACAUAGGUUAACGAGGCGAACCGGGGGAACUGAAACAUCUAAGUACCCCGAGGAAAAGAAAUCAACCGAGAUUCCCCCAGUAGCGGCGAGCGAACGGGGAGCAGCCCAGAGUCUGAAUCAGCUUGUGUGUUAGUGGAACGGUCUGGAAAGUCCGACGGUACAGGGUGAUAGUCCCGUACACCAAAAUGCACAGGCUGUGAACUCGAAGAGUAGGGCGGGACACGUGGUAUCCUGUCUGAAUAUGGGGGGACCAUCCUCCAAGGCUAAAUACUCCUGACUGACCGAUAGUGAACCAGUACCGUGAGGGAAAGGCGAAAAGAACCCCGGCGAGGGGAGUGAAAAAGAACCUGAAACCGUGUACGUACAAGCAGUGGGAGCACCUUCGGGUGUGACUGCGUACCUUUGUAUAAUGGGUCAGCGACUUAUAUUCUGUAGCAAGGUUAACCGUAUAGGGAGCCGCAGGAAACCGAGUCUUAACUGGGCGUUAAGUUGCAGGGUAUAGACCCGAAACCCGGUGAUCUAGCCAUGGGCAGGUUGAAGGUUGGGUAACACUAACUGGAGGACCGAACCGACUAAUGUUGAAAAAUUAGCGGAUGACUUGUGGCUGGGGGUGAAAGGCCAAUCAAACCGGGAGAUAGCUGGUUCUCCCCGAAAGCUAUUUAGGUAGCGCCUCGUGAACUCAUCUUCGGGGGUAGAGCACUGUUUCGGCUAGGGGGUCAUCCCGACUUACCAACCCGAUGCAAACUACGAAUACCGAAGAAUGUUAUCACGGGAGACACACGGCGGGUGCUAACGUCCGUCGUGAAGAGGGAAACAACCCAGACCGCCAGCUAAGGUCCCAAAGUCAUGGUUAAGUGGGAAACGAUGUGGGAAGGCACAGACAGCCAGGAUGUUGGCUUAGAAGCAGCCAUCAUUUAAAGAAAGCGUAAUAGCUCACUGGUCGAGUCGGCCUGCGCGGAAGAUGUAACGGGGCUAAACCAUGCACCGAAGCUGCGGCAGCGACACUAUGUGUUGUUGGGUAGGGGAGCGUUCUGUAAGCCUGCGAAGGUGUGCUGUGAGGCAUGCUGGAGGUAUCAGAAGUGCGAAUGCUGACAUAAGUAACGAUAAAGCGGGUGAAAAGCCCGCUCGCCGGAAGACCAAGGGUUCCUGUCCAACGUUAAUCGGGGCAGGGUGAGUCGACCCCUAAGGCGAGGCCGAAAGGCGUAGUCGAUGGGAAACAGGUUAAUAUUCCUGUACUUGGUGUUACUGCGAAGGGGGGACGGAGAAGGCUAUGUUAGCCGGGCGACGGUUGUCCCGGUUUAAGCAUGUAGGCUGAUUGUCCAGGCAAAUCCGGAUAAUCAAGGCUGAGGUGUGAUGACGAGGCACUACGGUGCUGAAGUAACAAAUGCCCUGCUUCCAGGAAAAGCCUCUAAGCAUCAGGUAACAUCAAAUCGUACCCCAAACCGACACAGGUGGUCAGGUAGAGAAUACCAAGGCGCUUGAGAGAACUCGGGUGAAGGAACUAGGCAAAAUGGUGCCGUAACUUCGGGAGAAGGCACGCUGGUGUGUAGGUGAAGUCCCUGCGGAUGGAGCUGAGACCAGUCGAAGAUACCAGCUGGCUGCAACUGUUUAUUAAAAAACACAGCACUGUGCAAACACGAAAGUGGACGUAUACGGUGUGACGCCUGCCCGGUGCCGGAAGGUUAAUUGAUGGGGUUAUCCGUAAGGAGAAGCUCUUGAUCGAAGCCCCGGUAAACGGCGGCCGUAACUAUAACGGUCCUAAGGUAGCGAAAUUCCUUGUCGGGUAAGUUCCGACCUGCACGAAUGGCGUAAUGAUGGCCAGGCUGUCUCCACCCGAGACUCAGUGAAAUUGAACUCGCUGUGAAGAUGCAGUGUACCCGCGGCAAGACGGAAAGACCCCGUGAACCUUUACUAUAGCUUGACACUGAACAUUGAGCCUUGAUGUGUAGGAUAGGUGGGAGGCUUUGAAGCGUGGACGCCAGUCUGCGUGGAGCCAACCUUGAAAUACCACCCUUUAAUGUUUGAUGUUCUAACGUUGGCCCCUGACCGGGGUUGCGGACAGUGUCUGGUGGGUAGUUUGACUGGGGCGGUCUCCUCCCAAAGCGUAACGGAGGAGCACGAAGGUUAGCUAAUCCUUGGUCGGACAUCAGGAGGUUAGUGCAAUGGCAUAAGCUAGCUUGACUGCGAGCGUGACGGCGCGAGCAGGUGCGAAAGCAGGUCAUAGUGAUCCGGUGGUUCUGAAUGGAAGGGCCAUCGCUCAACGGAUAAAAGGUACUCCGGGGAUAACAGGCUGAUACCGCCCAAGAGUUCAUAUCGACGGCGGUGUUUGGCACCUCGAUGUCGGCUCAUCACAUCCUGGGGCUGAAGUAGGUCCCAAGGGUAUGGCUGUUCGCCAUUUAAAGUGGUACGCGAGCUGGGUUUAGAACGUCGUGAGACAGUUCGGUCCCUAUCGCCGUGGGCGCUGGAGAAUUGAGGGGCUGCUCCUAGAGAGGACCGGAGUGGACGCAUCACUGGUGUUCGGGUUGUCAUGCCAAUGGCACUGCCCGGUAGCUAAAUGCGGAAGAGAUAAGUGCUGAAAGCAUCUAAGCACGAAACUUGCCCCGAGAUGAGUUCUCCCUGAGACUUUAAGUCUCCUGAAGGAACGUUAAAGACGAUGACGUUGAUAGGCCGGGUGUGUAAGCGCAGCGAUGCGUUGAGCUAACCGGUACUAAUGAACCGUGAGGCUUAACCU